CGAAAAAUAAAACAAUCCAGCAAAACGACAAUGGGAGCUCUAGAGUCUUCGGCACUCCAGCUGUAAUCCAUUAAAAGAAAACCCCUCUUGAAAGCAACAAAAAAAUGCAUGGGGAAGGCCAACAAAUCAGAAGCUUUAAACGUCCAUCAAUCUACACCAUCAGAAAAAUCUUCCCAUUUCCCCAAAGCACUUUGGAGAUAACACCCUGUUGAAUUUGAAACUCACAGCAAAACAAUUUCUUCAGAAAACACUCCCACCUAACUCUUCAUUUCCCCUCCUUCUUGACUCUCUCGCCUCCUCCGUCCACCGCUUAUCUUCAGCCACCAUCUCCGCAACACCAGAAGGGACUAGAUUCAAUAGAUAAGUAGAAUCUCCUUUCUUAAUUCCUUCAGAUGCUAGAAAAUGGGCUACCUUGUUAGCCUCCCUGUUAGUAAAGAGAAAUACACAUAAACUGAAACUUAAACUCAGCUUCAAAGCAUCAUUGAUAUAAACUGAGAUCUCAGAACUAUCAUUCAUCUGUUUUUGCAGCUUCCGGAUUACCGACUGAGAGUCUCCCUCAACCUCCACCUCUCUCAAACCAAGUUGUACCCCAAGAUUCAGAGCCUGAACACACGCAACCGCUUCUGCUGCAAAUACAGAGGGUAUGUUUGUGUUCAUUACAGUUUUUGAACAUAUGAUCCUAGCUUCCUUAUUACGCACCACUAAUCCUGAGCAUGAUUCUUUUUUUUAUGGUUGUUGAAAGCUGCGCCAAAGUUUAUUUUCAGCCUCGAUCCCAUCGGUACAACCCAUCUGUCCACAUACACCCUUCUUUCAGGUACACAACAAUGCAAACCAUCAAGUUCCUUUAAAUAGUUGUUCACAAAAAUAACAAUUUGAGCACUUGAUUUAAUCUCCCCCUCAUGAAUAAAUCUAUUUCGAAAAGUCCAAAUCGCCCAUAAAACACAUGCUAUCAUUCUACAGUUAGCCAUAGAUCUGGACUCAAAACUACUUUUUAUCCAGUCUCUGAAAUUUAAGGUUUUAUAGGAAAUAGGCCAAAAAAUACUUAACUGCUCCCAUGUUUCCUUUGUAGAAGGGCAUUCACGAAACAGAUGCUCCUUUGUCUCCGCUCCAGAUUAACACCACCGACACGUAGGAGAAUCCAACAUUCUUCGAUAGUGUAGAUUACUGAAAGUAGGUACAUAGUUACACAAAAGUCUCCAAACUGUAAUUUUAAUUUUAGGGGUAGGUCCAGUUUCCAUAGUUUCUUGUAAAGUUGUAUGUAAUCUGCUUGUAUUUGGUUUCGUCCUUCAUGUAAAACGAUUUUGUGAACAAUACGAACCGAGUACUCCCCAGACAACUCACGCCUCCAGAUGAGAGAAUUUUCUUGCUCAAACAAAGGAAGAGGAAUGCAAAGAAUUCUUUUUGCAACCGGCAUAGAGAAGGUACUAUGAAUCAACUCAAAAUUCAAUUAUCUAGAAUUAGCAUGAAUCAGAUUUGCCACUUUAUUAAUUCUAGGAUUACUAUUCAUGUUUUGGACUCUGACCUCUUCAUUUCUAGGGAUCCAAACAUCUUCCCAGAUAGAAACUUUCCGACCAUCCCCGAUCUUCCAUGCCAUUCCCUUCAAAACUAGUCCCCUUGUGGCCCAUAGACUUUUCCAGGUAAAAGAAGGUAAAUUUCCCAAUCUAGCGUUUAAGAAAUCGGAAUCCUUAAAGUAUUUGGCUCUUAAAAGUAUGCGCUAGUAAGGAAUUAAGGUAUCGUAACAAACGCCAUUCUUGUUGGCCAAUAAAGCUAUAUUAAAAGAACUCAAAUGACGAAAACCCAUGCCUCCUUCCUCCAACGUACAUAAAGACCUCCAAUCACACCAAUGCGUCCUUCUCUUGCAAUGAUUAUUCCUCCACCAAGAUGAACCCAUUAUAUUUUCCAACUCUAAACAAAGAGUUUUUGGUAAAAGAAAACAAGACGAUCGUAUAAGUAGGUAGAGCUUGUAAAACAGCUUUAAUAAAAACCUCUUUUGUAACAUUUUGAAAUAGGUCCUAAAUAGAAUAGUGUUUGUGAAAUGACAAAUUUGAUAUAGAAAAGUUUAUUUUGAUUAAUUUUUAUGAUUUAUCAAGUGAUUAGAUGCAUGUGUGUAUUGAUAAUAAAUUUUAUAGAUUGCAUGUUUAAUUUGUCUAUUAGGGCUUAUUUGUAGAAAUUGUUGUAACAGUCCGAUUUAGGGCCUAAGCGGAAUGAUGGUUUUAGAAUAACGAAUUCGAAGUUGAAAAAUUUAUUUUGAUUAAGUUUUAAGGUUUAUUUAUUGAUUAAAAUAUUGUGUAAAAAUAUCGUUAAGUAAUUUUACUGAUAAAGUGCUUAAUUGGACUUUUAAGACUAAAUUGUAAAAGUUGUAAAAUGUGUUUUAAUUUAUAAGUAAUUAAUUGAAAUUGGGGUUUAAAGAGGUCCUUAAAUGGUAAUUUUAGCAUUAUAUUUUGUUUGGACAAAAAUGGGCAUGAAUAGGAUAAAAUUUUAAAGAAGGGCCUGCAUUUUAGUUAUUUGGUAAUUAAAAGAAAUAAAAAGAAAAAAUAAAGCUAAAAUUGACUCAUCUUUUUCAUGGAGAUUGAAAUUUGCAUGGGGAAGACAUGGAUAGGGUUUUCAAACUUUCUAAGCUCGACAGUAAGUCUAUUCUAGCUCUGUUUUUUAAGUUCUUUACGAUUUCGAAAAUCUGGUAACUUGAUUAAGUUUAUUUUAGCAAUAAUUUAAGUUAGGGUUCAUAUUUAGAAAAAUACCUGUAGGUGGAAUGUGUUUAUUUUGAUUUUUAUGGUAGAAUUUCAAGGAUAAAGUUAUGUUAAACAACUUUUGCUAAGUGGUUUUAAGCAAAAAUGAGUAAAACGGCUUAAUCGGUAAAAAUUGUUAUUGUUCAUAACUAUGUGUUAGAGUGAGAAUUUGAUGUUGCCAUAAAAGGGAAAAAUAAUCAGCAUGUUAUAAAACAUAAGAAUAAGGGAUGAAUUAUAAUUCCCGAGUUUAGGGGUAAAAGUGUAAAUAUGUAAAAGUUUAGGGGUAAAAUUGUAAUUUUGCCAAAGUUUAAGUUAAGGAUUUUUUUGAAUAUUAAAUUAAUUAAAUAAGUAAAAUAUGAUGUUUUAGAUUCCGAAAAAUGACAUUUGAAUUUAGAAUGGGAGAAAAGUUGAAAAUCGGGAAAGUUGGUAAAAUGACCGUUUUAGUAUCGAGGUAAGUUCAUAUGUAUAAUAAGCAUUAAUUUAUGCAUGUUUCAAUGUAAAAUUGAUAUAUUUACUAUGAUUGUCGAGGUGUUGAAAGUAAGUAUAAGUUAUGAUGAUUUAAAUGUUCAAUAUUAAUUCGACAUGGAAAUGAGAAAGUAUGUAAGUUUGUAUGUAAAUAAUACAUUAUCUUUAUUAUGUUUUUGUAUUUCAGCAUAUUUUAUGUAUUGUAGCUGAUUUUUGAAUCAUAAUUGACUAUUGGAAGUAUGGAAUCAAGUAUUAGAAAGAGAGAGAAAUCUCGGUUGAACCUUCGGAAAUAUUAGAUGAUACAGAUGGUAUGUAGCUAGGUCACAUGUAUGGUGCUGAGUGCACAUCAUGUGUACAAGAGAGCUACGAGACAUUAUGAUGUAGCUAGGUCGCAUGGGUGAUACUAUGUGUACACCAUGUAGAGAAGAGAGCUAUGGGAUAUAUGUAGUUAGGUCGCAUGCGUGGUUCCAAGUGAAGGACACCAUGUAGACAAAAGAGCUACGAGAUAAACUGGCUAGGUCACAUGGGUGGUACUAAGUGUUCAUUAUGUGUACAAGAGAGCCAAAAUUAUGUGUACAAUCGAGCUAGGUCACAUGAGUGGUGCUAAGUGAAGGUCACUAUGUGUAUAAGAGAGCUUCGAUUUUAAAGGUGGGCUGUGUGCGAUACCAUCGCGUAUCUGUUAUUAUUCUGAAGCGUUCAACUGGGAAAUUGAUUAAAUGAAAUUGUGUAUGACUUUGUGACGAUAAGUGUAAGCAUAUACGUGUGUAACUUAUGAGCAAUAUGCUUGAUAUGUGAUUGGAAAUUGGAAAGAUUGUUAUGGGAAAGUGAUGAAUACAAUUGAAGUGUGAAAGAUCAAAAUUGACAAUAAAAUUGUUCUGGAUAGUUGCAGUGAUGUGAAUCUAAAAAUUUACCAAAAAUAGUAGAAAUUGAAUCAGAGAAUGAAUGAGAUAUAAAAUUAGAGCUUAAUGAGUCUAUUUUCAUAUAACAGAAAUAGAGCAAGCAAAGGAAUUCUAUAUUAUGAGAUAUUUAAGUUUUUAAGAGACUGGUUCAGAAUGACUACGUGAUCCCUUGUUUUGACUUGGAAAAAUAAUUAAAAAUUUUUAAAAAAUAAUUAGGGGAUAUAAUUUAUAUUCUUGAAAUCCUUAAUGAGUCUAGUUUCAAAUGAAAUAAACGAGAACAUCCUUUGAAUUCUGUACGAGGAGAAAAUUGAUUCGUAGUGAAGAGUGGUCAGAACAGUUGAGCAGUGAAACAGGGGUAACUUCAAUGAAUAAACUGUACUAAUUAUCUAGACCAAAAAAUUCUGAAUAUAUGUGAAUCUUAUUUCAAGGAAAAUUAACGAUUUGUAAUUUGGAGUUCUGUAGCUCCAGAAAUAAAUAAUUUAGCUGCUGGUACUCUGCUAGAUAGCUUAUUUUGAACCUGUUUAUGAUUGUAAUAGUGAAAGUAUGUGCGUUUGUGAUGGUAAUAUUCCGGGAACAUAUUGUGACUUUGUUUAAAGUAUGAUAAUGUAUUGUUUAUUAAUAUUUACAUACUUGCUUACUAAGCUAUAAUGUUUACUCCCUUCCUUUCCUUUUUCCUAUAGUGUCGCAAAUGUUAGCUCGAGUUGGAGGUCACUGGAGGUUAAAUUACACUAUCAAACUAUUGAUCGAUAUAUAAAGAUUUUAAAGUAUUUUAAGUCUUUGGGAUGCAUGGAGACUCGUUUAAUUGUUAUUAAGUUGCUAGGAAUUGGCUUAAAAUACUGACCUAUGUUAUUUGAAGGUCUCUAUUGUAUAAAGUCAUUUAAUGUAGAUAGUCUUGACUAUGUUAUUAAUUAAAUGAUGCAAUUUAUGAAUGUGCAUGCUUGCCUAUGUGUGUGAUUGAAUUAAAGCAUGAUAUGGGCCUUGUAAGCUCUUUUUAAGGAACGGCUUGAAUGUAUUUGAAAAAGUUUUAAAUUAGAGUAAAAUUAUGAAUCGGUUUUUAUACGAUGAUUAGUGAUUAAGUCCGGUAAUGCCUCGUACCCUGUUCCGACGUCAAACACGGGUAAGGGGUGUUACAUCUUUACCUCUUUGAGAAAUAUGUCUUAUACUCCAAUUGUUGAUUUUCUGCUUCAUGCAAUCUUUCAAAUUUUGAAAAGCUAAUUUCUUUUUACGACCCACCAAAUUUGGAAGCCCAAGAUAUCUCUCCAUAUCUGUAGAGCAACGAACAUUAAGAGCCCGAAAAACCAUAUUCUUGUCAUGAUCCUUCACAUUAGUACUGGAAAAAAAUCGUGGAUUUCUCAAAAUUUACACACUGUCCUGUACAAGCCUCAUACUCCGCAAGAAUGUCCUUCAACGUAUUGAUACCCUGAUUCGAUACCUCUCCGAAUAAGAUGCAAUCAUCUGCAAACAUAAGAUGGGUGAUAGGUGGGGCAGACUUGCAAACUUUAGCCUCACAAUUUUCUUGUCCAGACUAGCCAAUCUCAUUAGUGCAGAAAGUCCUUCACAAUAAAACAAAAAGAGAUAAGGACUUAAGGGAUCCCCUUGGCGCAAACCCCUAGAAGGCUUAAAACAAUUCCUUUCUUCCCAAUUAAUCAAGAUGGAAUAUUGGGCAGAACUCACACAGCGUAAAAUCAAAUCAAUGAAACGCCCAUCAAAACCCAUUUUUAACAUUAUUCCUUUAAUGAAAGGCCACUCCACUCUGUCAUAGGCCUUACUCAUAUCAAGUUUUAAAGCCGUGAGACCCUUUCUCCCAUGUCUUCUGUUCUUAAACGAGUGAAGUACUUCAUAAGCCAAAAGUACAUUGUCUGUAAUGAGUGUCCCUGGAACAAAAGCACUCUGCGAAUCAUCAAUACACUCAUGUAAAGCAUUUUGAAGCCUAUUAGCAACAGUUUUUGCAAUAAUCUUAUAAAUAACUAUGUAUAAACUAAUAGCGCGAAAAUUCAUCAAAUUUAUAGGAAUAGCCGUUUUGGGAAUCAGCACCAAUUGGGUAUUGUUAAUAUCCUCUAAAGGUUUUCCUUUAUUAAGAAUAUCUAAGCAAAAACCACUCACAUCCUUACCAAUAAUGUGCCAGAAUUUUUGGUAAAAAAUUGUUGGAAAACCAUCAGCACCCGAGGCUUUUAUAGGCCCCAUACUUUUUAAUGCCUCAAUAAUUUCAGCCUCCUUGAAAGUUGUCGUCAAGCUUUGAUUCAUGUUGUCAGGGACACAUGAAUAGACCCCGGAAAGAAUGUGCUCCAAAUCACCAAUUCCUCUAGAGUCAAAGAGGUCAGAAAAGUACCCACGGGCAAUGCUCUCCACCUCCCAUCCAUCUGUAGCAAGAGAUCCAUCCCUUCGUUGCAAACCUCGUAUACGAUUCACUCGUCUUCUUUGGGAAGCAAAUCUAUGAAAAAAUGAAGUAUUCUUGUCCCCUAUUUUCAACCAAUUAACUUUUGCCCUUUGCUUCCAAUAUUUCUCCUUCUUGUCCAAUUCCAUAUUCAAGUGAAGUUUGACCUCAACAAUAUUGCCCAAAUUUUCCUCAGAAUUCUCAUCAUUAUUCAGCUUCUCCAAUCGCCUAUUCAAACACUUCACUUCCCGCCCUAUUUUACUUUUAAUUUUGUUCCCCCAAACUUUCAAUCCAUUAGCAAGAUUUGUCAUGCGAGAAAGAAAAGAUCUAGAACUACCCUCCCAUAACUUCCUAAUGAUAAUGCUCUAGAAUAACGUAUUUUUAUGUAUUAAUCAUGUGUUUAUUCUGAGCUUGAUCCUACUAAUUUGAGCUAUUUAUGUCUUUUUAUCUUUUAGGGACUGAUUUGGAGGCAAAAGCAAAAUUAAUGGACAAAAGUGCGAAUUUGGAGACAUAAUGGGCUGAUAUGCGGCACAGGAAAAAGAUUGUGCCAAAAGUGAAAGCAUGGAAGACACAAGACUAAAAACGCAAAAAGAAGAGAUCUUAUUCUAUAAGACUCCAUUUUAUUUAUAUUAGGAUAAUUUAUAUUAGGAUAAUUAUUAGGAUUAUUUAAAUUUUAGGAUUUUAUUUUAAUUAUCUCUAUUUAUCUUUAAUUAAAUGUAUUUAUCUUUUUAGAAUUUAGUUAAAUUAGACUAUCUCCCUAGCACUAUAAAUAGGGGGUGAAGUGACUCUAUUGGGGAUCAUCUUUUUCUGUAAACACUCUCCCCCUGAAAGUCUAGGCUUUUGUUUCUUCAUAUUUUCUUUCAAUAAAAUUCCCUUUUCUAUUUUUUAUA
Molecule: long non-coding RNA, 7354 nt
Filed under: Gossypium barbadense (sea-island cotton)
Lineage: Eukaryota; Viridiplantae; Streptophyta; Magnoliopsida; Malvales; Malvaceae
Description: long non-coding RNA (GBAR_LNC000960)
Source: RNAcentral